CCUACGGGGGGCAGCAGUGGGGAAUUUUGGACAAUGGGCGAAAGCCUGAUCCAGCAAUGCCGCGUGCAGGAUGAAGGCCUUCGGGUUGUAAACUGCUUUUGUACGGAACGAAAAAGUCUCCUCUAAUACAGGAGGCCCAUGACGGUACCGUAAGAAUAAGCACCGGCUAACUACGUGCCAGCAGCCGCGGUAAUACGUAGGGUGCGAGCGUUAAUCGGAAUUACUGGGCGUAAAGCGUGCGCAGGCGGUUUUGUAAGACAGAGGUGAAAUCCCCGGGCUCAACCUGGGAACUGCCUUUGUGACUGCAAGGCUAGAGUACGGCAGAGGGGGAUGGAAUUCCGCGUGUAGCAGUGAAAUGCGUAGAUAUGCGGAGGAACACCGAUGGCGAAGGCAAUCCCCUGGGCCUGUACUGACGCUCAUGCACGAAAGCGUGGGGAGCAAACAGGAUUAGAUACCCCGGUAGUC
This 465-nucleotide ribosomal RNA is filed under the name uncultured bacterium. RNAcentral describes it as "bacterial SSU rRNA". It matches the Rfam family "Bacterial small subunit ribosomal RNA", at positions 338 to 795 of the family's 1533-position model. The record is from RNAcentral.